RNAcentral lists this long non-coding RNA (559 nucleotides) under Cricetulus griseus (Chinese hamster). RNAcentral describes it as "lncRNA (ENSCGRG00015031684.1)". The record is from RNAcentral. Lineage: Eukaryota; Metazoa; Chordata; Mammalia; Rodentia; Cricetidae.
CGUAUUCAUUCACAUGUUCAUCUGCUCAGGCAUUCAUUGAAUAUUUAUUGUCUAAAUUAUGUACAGUGUAGACACAGAUGCCAAAGGAAGAAGAGUUUGGCUGUCACCAUCACUGUGGCUUGUGUGACAGGCCCUGAAGUGGAGAGUUGCUGCAGGGGCUGCUGUGGGAUUGGUAAACCCAGGUUGGAGAGGACCAGAAUCGCCCCUGGAGGAAACAAGCACCUUCAGUCCUCCAAGUGCUAUUGGGUCCCAGUGACUUGCAGAACAACACACGCCCACUGAGCCAGUCUGCUGCUGCUGCUGCUGCUGCAAGUGCCCGAAGAGCUGAAGCAAGUGGAUGACACACAACAGCAAGAGGGAUUCCUGGGCUGCUGGGACAAACAGGGAACUGGGCACCAUCUGAAGGCACUUGUGAGAAGGAAGGUGCAGACAUCUAUUUAAUUUGAUUAUUUGACGUCUUAGCGAAGCUGCAUCUACCACAGUCAUGUCAUCUAAUGCUCCUUCAAUGACUGCAUCUAUGUUUGAAAUGCCACACAUGUGCAAGUCCCCAGGUUUGUCC